Molecule: long non-coding RNA, 1349 nt
Filed under: Triticum aestivum (bread wheat)
Lineage: Eukaryota; Viridiplantae; Streptophyta; Magnoliopsida; Poales; Poaceae
Description: long non-coding RNA (TAES_LNC013440)
Source: RNAcentral
AUGCAGUGGGGACGCCGUGCCUAGCUACGUCGUCGGUAUUUGCUCUUGUAUUCUUGUAAUGUGUUUGGUGUUGUUGUGCACGUGAUUGCUGUUUGUUUUCUUUGUACGUGUGGCUGUCGGGUCUAGAUCUCGGCUCUUGUGUGUGUUGUCCUGCUACGUCAGUUCUGUGGUGGUAAAUUAAUUUGGAUUGUAUCUUGCAUGUUUCAACUAUAUAUUUGUUGGCUGCAUAUUUCAAUUAUGUGAUGUUGGAAUUAUGUGAAUUGCUCCAAUGUGCCAUUGGUUACCAUUGCUUGAUCGGUGAAAUACAAGGUAAAUAUGUCAUGCGUCGUAGUUACUCUGUUUUGCAGAACUAGCCUCUGUUUGUGCGUCUAGAUUUAUAAAUAUUACUGCAUUUGGUGUUGUUUUUCUUUUCUAUUUAUUUGACUCCACUGUAAAGAAUUGUUUUAUUGUAUUCAUAGCAACUUUACUAGUUACAGCGAUUCAAAUUUUAUUAAAUUGUUGCCCCUAAAAGGAGAAUAUGAUGUCAGAAACACUAGCAAAACACGGGCAUCCGAGGGAGUAUAGACUACCCACUAGGGCUAACGUGCACUUCACUGCACCGUUCUUCGUUCCUGGGAUUAACUCUUCACUAGUGCAGAAACCCUUUAUAGGAUUUUUCUACUAGCAAUGUAUGGAUAAAAUGAGACGGGUGCUAAUUUGACAAAAUACCAACAACGUUCACGAAAAUAGUACACGCUGCUAAUAACAUCUUAUUAUCCGCAUGUGACACCAGCGCACGCUGCUAGUAAGGGGCACCCAGGAAGCCCUUCAUCUCGAAUAUCCUAGCAGCGGGUAGCGCGGUGAACGUUGCUAAUAUAGAAAGAACUAGUGGCGCAUGCAGAAAUUCGAGACACCACUAAUACGUAGUGUGGACCCCUUGUGUUUGAAUUAUCCAAUACAAAUGUUCAAUUUUUUAACUAAUUUCAUCAAAUAUAACUGGAACACAAAAGUCCUGUAAUUGUAUUUGAAAUCCUAAAAUGCCACUCUGCAUGAGUGAGAUGCCACCGCGUGCAGUGGGGGGCGACGUGCCUACGCCGUCGGUAUUUGCUCUUGUAUUCUUGUAUGUGUUUUGUGACCUGGUGAUUGUUGUUUGUUUUCUUUGUACGUGUGGCUGUUGGGUCUGGAUCUCGGCUCUUGUACUAUGUAUUGUGUUGUUACGUCAGUUUUGCGGCAGUAAACUAAUUUGGACGGUAUCUUGCAUGUUUCAAUUAUAUAUAUUUUCGGCUGCCUGUUUCAAUUAUAUGAUGUUGUAAUUAUGUGGAUUGCUACAAUGUUCCAUUUGUUACCAUUGCUUGAUCAGUGAAAUACGG